Molecule: long non-coding RNA, 569 nt
Organism: Nothoprocta perdicaria
Lineage: Eukaryota; Metazoa; Chordata; Aves; Tinamiformes; Tinamidae
Exons: 5
Source: RefSeq, a predicted model, not a curated record
GUUGCUGGAUCCCUUUUGAGCAUGACUCCACAUUUUUCCUUCUGUCACCUCAGUGGUUGCUACCUUGGCAACAUCAAGACAUUAAACUCAAUUACUCAAUUACCAUGAGAUCAAUGCGGAGUCCUGCCCCUGGAUUGGGACUAGAUGGUCACAAUCUUAUCUCCAGGGGAAUCCAAGAUGUUUUCUAUUUGUGUUAAAACCAUUAAUCUUGGAGAGUGAGAAGAUGUGAGAAAGGAACAUGAGGCAAUGUUGAUGAGGAGAGGAGCCUUGCAGAGCUGAACAGAGGAUGAGUGAAGCAAUAUGCUCAUCAUAUUUUACUGCGCCGAACAGGAAGAAAACUACACUGCUCAUCAGCACCAUCUCCUGAGAAGUGUAAAGGCAAAGUUAUAAGUGGUAUUUAAGAUGGGCAUUUGAGGAUAUCUCAGAAUCUGAUGCUUCUGUUAGCAUCUUCGUGUUCAGAAACCUGGUAUCUGGAUAGAGUCUAAUAGACUCCAGCUUUCUCUGCUUCUACCUGUACAACCUCUUCCUCUCACCUCUCAGAGGACUUCCAAAAUGCUGAGGGAUUCGCC